Molecule: long non-coding RNA, 252 nt
Filed under: Lathyrus oleraceus (garden pea)
Lineage: Eukaryota; Viridiplantae; Streptophyta; Magnoliopsida; Fabales; Fabaceae
Description: Pisum sativum (pea) long non-coding RNA (PSAT_LNC020985)
Source: RNAcentral
UUUGUCCAUCAUCGGAGGUUGAACUCGAGCAGCUAAUUCACUCCAUUUUUGGGCGUACUCUUUGAAGGACUCAUUUGGGCCCUGGGUCAGACUUUGUAAUUGGGUCCUAUUAGGAGCCAUGUCGAUGUUUUAGUGGUAUUCCCUUACAAAUUCCUCGACCAAAUCCCUCCAAUUCUGGAUAUACUUUCUUUCCAAAUGCAUAUACCAUUUUAGCGAUGCCCCAUAUAGGUUGUUGAUCAGUCUCCAAUUCUA